AUUUAAGUAGUUUAAUAAAAAUUUUGGCCUGUGGGUCCAAGGAUAUACACUAGUAUCUUAGAUU
This 64-nucleotide transfer RNA is filed under the name Dicronychus cinereus. RNAcentral describes it as "tRNA-His". The record is from RNAcentral. Lineage: Eukaryota; Metazoa; Arthropoda; Insecta; Coleoptera; Elateridae. RNAcentral also lists the same sequence under 1 other name.